UACGUAGGUCGCAAGCGUUGUCCGGAUUUACUGGGCGUAAAGAGCGCGCAGGCGGCUGGUCAAGUCCGAUGUGAAAUCUCCCGGCUCAACUGGGAAACUGCAUCGGAAACUGAUCGGCUUGAAGAUGGGAGAGGGUAGUGGAAUUCCCGGUGUAGUGGUGAAAUGCGUAGAUAUCGGGAGGAACACCAGUGGCGAAGGCGGUUACCUGGACAGUUACUGACGCUCAGGCACGAAAGCAUGGGGAGCAAAAGGG
RNAcentral lists this ribosomal RNA (253 nucleotides) under uncultured bacterium. Its description in RNAcentral is "partial 16S ribosomal RNA". It matches the Rfam family "Bacterial small subunit ribosomal RNA", at positions 524 to 776 of the family's 1533-position model. The record is from RNAcentral.